AGACGUCGACCUGCAUUGGCCAGCAGCGUGGACGACAUAUGGUUCAUACAUCCGAUGGACAGGCUACUCUUCUAUCCCAGGAGGCCACGGGAGAGCAUACGUCAUUAUCAACAUCGCGGAGAUCAGCGGGGGUUUUCAAAUAUCUCCUCCUUCAGUGAUGCUCCUCCUCCACCAGUGAAACUCCUCCUUCAGUGAAGCUCCUCCCACUGCAGUUCACCAAUAAACGCUGGAAUAUUUCCCUCAGCUACAAGUGAAGACGAGCAUCAAACCAUCAGGAAGAGCUUACACAAACACAGAGUUUAUUGAAGGACACUGAGAACAUGAGAUCCAGAACACUGCAGAAUGAAACAUACUGAAGAACAAAGAGCGGCAAAAUUCUAAUCUGAAAAAUGAAGCCUACCCGGAAGUGGGAAAAACUGCAAUCCAUCGAAAAUCCGCUAGAGGCCGGUCCCAAAAGGGGGUGAAUAUCCA
Pimephales promelas (fathead minnow) is the source of this 471-nucleotide non-coding RNA. Lineage: Eukaryota; Metazoa; Chordata; Actinopteri; Cypriniformes; Leuciscidae. The record is from RefSeq and is a predicted model, not a curated record.